Molecule: unclassified non-coding RNA, 336 nt
Filed under: soil metagenome
Description: partial contains 5.8S ribosomal RNA, internal transcribed spacer 2, and large subunit ribosomal RNA
Rfam family: 5.8S ribosomal RNA (bases 1-120)
Source: RNAcentral
GAUGAAGAACGCAGCGAAAUGCGAUAAGUAAUGUGAAUUGCAGAAUUCCGUGAAUCAUCGAAUCUUUGAACGCACAUUGCGCCCCCUGGUAUUCCGGGGGGCAUGCCUGUCCGAGCGUCAUUGCAACCCUCAAGCGCGGCUUGUGUGUUGGGCUUCGUCCCCCCGUGGACGUGCCCGAAAGGCAGUGGCGGCGUCCCGAAUGGUGCCCGAGCGUAUGGGAACUCUCUUCCGCUCGAACCGGCCCAUUCGGCGCUGGUCGAACCCCAAUUUUUUACCGGUUGACCUCGGAUCAGGUAGGGAUACCCGCUGAACUUAAGCAUAUCAAUAAGCGGACGA